RNAcentral lists this ribosomal RNA (301 nucleotides) under uncultured bacterium. Its description in RNAcentral is "partial 16S ribosomal RNA". It matches the Rfam family "Bacterial small subunit ribosomal RNA", at positions 509 to 807 of the family's 1533-position model. The record is from RNAcentral.
CAGCAGCCACGGUAAUACGAAGGGUGCAAGCGUUAAUCGGAAUUACUGGGCGUAAAGCGUGCGUAGGCGGUUUCUUAAGUCUGAUGUGAAAGCCCCCGGCUCAACCGGGGAGGGUCAUUGGAAACUGGGAAACUUGAGUGCAGAAGAGGAGAGUGGAAUUCCACGUGUAGCGGUGAAAUGCGUAGAGAUCGGGAGGAACAUCAGUGGCGAAGGCGGCCAUCUGGGACAACACUGACGUUGAGGCACGAAAGCGUGGGGAGCAAACAGGAUUAGAUACCCCCGUAGUCCCUGUCUCUUAUAC